GUGUGUGAAACUUUUGAGAAUUGUGGUUGAACUCCUUUGAUGAAGCUCUUGUUGGCACCAUAAAUUUGUUUUGCUUCACACUGUCUUGAUCAAGAGUGUGAAGUUUUUGAGAAUUGUGGUUGAACUCCUUUGAUGAAGCUCUUAUUAGCACCAUAAAUUGGUUUUGCUUCACACUGUCUUGAUCAAGAGUGUGUGAAGCUUUUGAGAAUUGUGGUUAAACUCCUUUGAUGAAGCUCUUGUUGGCACCAUAAAUUGAUUUUGCUUCACACUAUCUUGAUCAAGAGUGUAUGAAGCUUUUGAGAAUUGUGGUUGAACUCCUUUGAUGAAGCUCUUGUUGACACCAUAAAUUGAUGAAGCUAAUAUGUUCACCUCCUCCCCCCCCCCCAUUUUUUCCGAUUUUUUUUAGGGGGAAAGGGGGUGCUGCAAGUUUGAAAUUUGAAAACUCCCUAGCUUGUGUGGAAGUUUGAAGACUUUCCAUGUGGGGUUUUCUCAUGGUUUGAAUUUUAAUUUUGAAUUUCUUUGGCCAUGUUAAACCCUAUAAGAAUGAGAAGUUUCCAUUAUUUUCAUUGUCUUCAUUUGCUCAUUUUGUAGUGAUUUUUGGAGAUAGAGUGCUCUUAUAAUUGAGAGGGAUUCCGACAUUGCUUUGCACCAUCUUCAAGUUGGUAGUCUUCUCCACUAGAUCACAUGCUUUCAUUCUUGUUGAAUUGUUUGAGUGUUCAUGUAUUUGGUUGAGAA
This 735-nucleotide long non-coding RNA is filed under the name Malus domestica (apple). RNAcentral describes it as "long non-coding RNA (MDOM_LNC015119)". Lineage: Eukaryota; Viridiplantae; Streptophyta; Magnoliopsida; Rosales; Rosaceae. The record is from RNAcentral.